RNAcentral lists this ribosomal RNA (1346 nucleotides) under uncultured bacterium. Its description in RNAcentral is "bacterial SSU rRNA". It matches the Rfam family "Bacterial small subunit ribosomal RNA", at positions 28 to 1381 of the family's 1533-position model. The record is from RNAcentral.
GACGAACGCUGGCGGCGUGCUUAACACAUGCCUUUCGAACGGAAAGGCCCUGCUUUUGUGGGGUGCUCGAGUGGCGAACGGGUGAGUAACACGUGAGUAACCUGCCCUUGACUUUGGGAUAACUUCAGGAAACUGGGGCUAAUACCGGAUAGGAGCUCCUGCUGCAUGGUGGGGGUUGGAAAGUUUCGGCGGUUGGGGAUGGACUCGCGGCUUAUCAGCUUGUUGGUGGGGUAGUGGCUUACCAAGGCUUUGACGGGUAGCCGGCCUGAGAGGGUGACCGGCCACAUUGGGACUGAGAUACGGCCCAGACUCCUACGGGAGGCAGCAGUGGGGAAUAUUGCACAAUGGGCGGAAGCCUGAUGCAGCAACGCCGCGUGCGGGAUGACGGCCUUCGGGUUGUAAACCGCUUUCGCCUGUGACGAAGCGUGAGUGACGGUAAUGGGUAAAGAAGCACCGGCUAACUACGUGCCAGCAGCCGCGGUGAUACGUAGGGUGCGAGCGUUGUCCGGAUUUAUUGGGCGUAAAGGGCUCGUAGGUGGUUGAUCGCGUCGGAAGUGUAAUCUUGGGGCUUAACCCUGAGCGUGCUUUCGAUACGGGUUGACUUGAGGAAGGUAGGGGAGAAUGGAAUUCCUGGUGGAGCGGUGGAAUGCGCAGAUAUCAGGAGGAACACCAGUGGCGAAGGCGGUUCUCUGGGCCUUUCCUGACGCUGAGGAGCGAAAGCGUGGGGAGCGAACAGGCUUAGAUACCCUGGUAGUCCACGCUGUAAACGGUGGGUACUAGGUGUGGGGUCCAUUCCACGGGUUCCGUGCCGUAGCUAACGCUUUAAGUACCCCGCCUGGGGAGUACGGCCGCAAGGCUAAAACUCAAAGGAAUUGACGGGGCCCCGCACAAGCGGCGGAGCAUGCGGAUUAAUUCGAUGCAACGCGUAGAACCUUACCUGGGUUUGACAUGGGUCGGGAGUGCUCAGAGAUGGGUGUGCCUCUUUUGGGGUCGGUUCACAGGUGGUGCAUGCCUGUCGUCAGCUCGUGUCGUGAGAUGUUGGGUUAAGUCCCGCAACGAGCGCAACCCUUGUUCACUGUUGCCAGCACGUUAUGGUGGGGACUCAGUGGAGACCGCCGGGGUCAACUCGGAGGAAGGUGGGGAUGACGUCAAGUCCUCAUGCCCCUUAUGUCCAGGGCUUCACGCAUGCUACAAUGGCUGGUACAGAGAGUGGCGAGCCUGUGAGGGUGAGCGAAUCUCGGAAAGCCGGUCUCAGUUCGGAUUGGGGUCUGCAACUCGACCUCAUGAAGUCGGAGUCGCUAGUAAUCGCAGAUCAGCAACGCUGCGGUGAAUACGUUCCCGGGGCU